AUGAGUCAUUUCAAAUUUGUGGAUAUUGGUAUCAACUUGACAGAUCCUACGUUCAGAGGAAUUUAUAGGGUGGUUCAAAAGCAUCAAGAUGACUUAAAGGACGGAAAAGAGAGAGCUGUUCAGAUUGGUGUUAAAAAGUUUAUGAUUACAGGUGGAAAUCUAUAAGACAGUAAAGAUGCACUGCAUUUGGCAUAAACAAAUGAUAUGUUUUUCGGCACCGUUGGGUGUCAUCCUACAAGAUGUGAUGAAUUCGAAAAGAAUGACCCUGAUCAUUACCUGAUGGAGUUGCUGAAUCUUGCUGAAAGCAACAGGGAAAGUUGUAGCCAUAGGGGAAUGUGGACUUGAUUUUGACCGACUACAGUUUUGUUCCAAAGAUACUCAGCUCAAGUAUUUUGAAAAACAGUUUGAACUGUCAGAACAAACGAAAUUACCCAUGUUUCUCCAUUGUCGGAACUCACAUGCUGAAUUUUUGGAUAUAAUGAGAAGAAACAGAGAUCGGUGUGUAGGUGGAGUGGUGCAUUCAUUUGAAGGUACCAAGGAAGCAGCAGCUGCUUUGAUGGACUUGGGUCUCUAUAUAGGGUUUAAUGGUUGCUCACUGAAAACUGAGGCUGAUUUGGAAGUUAUAAAUCAAUACCUAGUGAAAAAUUAAUGAUUGAGACUGAUGCACCUUGGUGUGGAGUCAAAAGUACACAUGCUGGAUCAAAAUAUAUAAAAACUUCAUUUCCUACCAAAAAGAAGUGGGAAAACGGGCACUGUUUGAAAGACAGAAAUGAACCCUGCCACAUAAUUCAAAUACUGGAGAUAAAGUCAGCAGUAAGAGAUGAAGAUCCACUGGAACUAGCCAAUACACUAUAUAACAACACUAUUAAAAUAGUUUUUCCU
Molecule: long non-coding RNA, 882 nt
Filed under: Bos taurus (domestic cattle)
Lineage: Eukaryota; Metazoa; Chordata; Mammalia; Artiodactyla; Bovidae
Description: long non-coding RNA NONBTAT004252
Source: RNAcentral